AUUGAACGCCGGCGGCAGGCCUAACACAUGCAAGUCGAACGGUAGCACAGAGAGCUUGCUCUCGGGUGACGAGUGGCGGACGGGUGAGUAAUGUCUGGGAAACUGCCCGAUGGAGGGGGAUAACUACUGGAAACGGUAGCUAAUACCGCAUAACGUCGCAAGACCAAAGUGGGGGACCUUCGGGCCUCACACCAGCGGAUGUGCCCAGAUGGGAUUAGCUAGUAGGUGGGGUAAUGGCUCACCUAGGCGACGAUCCCUAGCUGGUCUGAGAGGAUGACCAGCCACACUGGAACUGAGAAACGGUCCAGACUCCUACGGGAGGCAGCAGUGGGGAAUAUUGCACAAUGGGCGCAAGCCUGAUGCAGCCAUGCCGCGUGUAUGAAGAAGGCCUUCGGGUUGUAAAGUACUUUCAGCGGGGAGGAAGGCGGUGAAGUUAAUAGCUUCACCGAUUGACGUUACCCGCAGAAGAAGCACCGGCUAACUCCGUGCCAGCCGCCGCCGUAA
Molecule: ribosomal RNA, 504 nt
Filed under: uncultured bacterium
Lineage: Bacteria
Description: partial 16S ribosomal RNA
Rfam family: Bacterial small subunit ribosomal RNA
Source: RNAcentral